This 7531-nucleotide long non-coding RNA is filed under the name Nicotiana tabacum (common tobacco). RNAcentral describes it as "long non-coding RNA (NTAB_LNC015320)". The record is from RNAcentral. Lineage: Eukaryota; Viridiplantae; Streptophyta; Magnoliopsida; Solanales; Solanaceae.
AAAAUAGUAAAAUGUUCUAUUUAUACUAGGUUGGAAAAACUGGACAAAAAUACCCCUAUGGGGUCAGUGCGGGCCGCACAAAAUGGACCGCGGCCGCACUGGUUCUUGGGUUUCAGUUGUUUGAUGACUUGAACUGGGGGAUGCGAACCGCGUGGGAGUGUACCGCGGCCGCAACGGUAACUGGCGCGGUCUACGCAGACGUGACCGCAUACCGCUUGAGGACAAAUGCCCCUUUGGUGAACCCUAUGAACGCGGACCGCACAGAGAAGGAGUGUGGCCGCGAAGAUUCUCUGCGGGCCGUGUGACCUUAGGCUCGAAAAUGUCCAGUCUCUGAACCUCCUAGUGCGUCCGCGGUCAUUAUUACGCGGUCCGCACUAGGCCCCUUUUUCUUUACGUCUAUUGGUCUUUGAUACUUGAGCAGGUUUCACCCCUUUUUGAGCCGAUUUUUGACAUCUCGUCACUUUGUCAGUCAACCUUGCAAUCAAGCACAACUUGUGAGCAUUUUGGGACUGUUUUUGUAUUAAUUUAUACUCAAAGCAUAGGCAAGUAGGGACAUAAACACUUUAAAAUCCUAACUUAUCAACUCCCCCAAACUUAAACCUUUGCUUGUCCUCAAGCAAACAAAAUAAGACCCACCCCUUAAAGAAACAUCCCAGUGAUUCCAGCUAUCCUAAAAUAACCUCAACAAGCAUCAAUUGGGACUAACAAUUGCCCUCAAUAUGAAUGCAUCAUUAACACAUUUAAAACUUUGAAAACUAUGGAUCAAGUGCGACACAAGAGCAUCAAGAGUUGACACAUUUCAUCAAAGAGCUUUUCUCACUUACUUUGGUCAUUGUGGAACCCAAACUCUCACAUCCUCAACUCUCCCUAAUCGAACCUCACCUUUUAAAUAUUGACACACAAAUCGAAGCAAAUGAAAUUUCACUUAUCUCUCUAAAAAAUGAAGGUCACAAGUCCGACUCUAAGUACCAUAUGCUUGCCCCUUAUGUAAGUAUCCACUAAUGUAAGCUCCCUUCAACUUGAGAUCAAAUAGGGCUUUUGUGGAAUCAUUUUGAAGGCUUUUAGGCAAGGGUAGGAUAUAUUUUUAUUCACGUGGGUUCAAUCUUCCCUUAAGCACUUCUUUUGAUUCAUUUCGGCACAACUUUCUUGGCUCUUUUUGAGGAAUUCACUUCUUUACAAGGGGUUAGAGAGACACAUUGUCACUCUUUCUUAUACAAUUCAAAACAUUUCUCCUUUUUCUACUUUCUCCACACCUUUUGUUUUUCACUUUUGUUUUCCUUGAAUCCCUUUUUAUUCUUGUUCACAUGGGACUUUCUUUUUGUCCUUUUUCUUUUCUUGCUUUUUCAUUGCCUUCUUUUCUUUCUUUUGUACCUUACUGCUUUGCUUCCUUUCUUGUCUCUCCCCCCAAACUUAGAUUUUUGCCAUUACUCAAGGGAAGAUUUGGGUGCCAAGAGAGGGUAAUUGUUUAGAACGGUUAUAGGCUUGUAGCAUUGGUUCUUGAAAGAAACAGGUUUAAGGCUCAAAAGGGUUAACUAGGGAUUAUUUCAUUGGAAGGCUAUGAAAUUGUUCAACUUAGCAUUUGGAUCAAGGAGAGCCUAUAAUCAUUUCUCAAGUCAAAUUUCACCUAGGAUUUCGCCUCAACAGACAUUUAGGGAAAGUUCUAGACCAUUGGCUCGGGACUUGGACUCAAAUUUCAAUUCCUCACCACACACGCUAGGGAUUUGCUAAAGAUAUCGAGUCGAGGGACUACAACGACCUUAGUUAUGAUUUAAACACACAAUGGUCCAAAAAGACCACAUGAUGAUCGUUUGGUCAAUGCAAGAGUCUCAAAGCCACAACUUUCACCAUCAAAAACACAACAUUAUAUCUUUGACCAUAGGAUCAAAGACAAAUGUGUUAGGCCCAAGUGAAACCUUGCUUGAGGUGCCUUUAACUACGCUUAUCAAAAACAAAAGAAAAAUCAAAGAAGUAGACUCAAACCUUUAAGAAGGUUGUCACGCCAUCUAUCAUUGGGAAGAGCCACCCGGUUCGCACAAUACUCCACCCUUGGAAAGAACCGUGGCAUUAAGAAAACCAAGGGCUUAUUGGAAACGCAAAAAUCAAAACAAGCGGCUACGAGCCUAACUACAAAGCUAAAAAUGAAAAUUUAGCGAAAAUAGAAAAUAGAAUAAUAUGUACAAUAGGGGAGUAGAAUAUACAAUGGGGGAUGAAUAUAUACAGAAAUGUAAAGUUAUAUAUAGCCCAAAGUAAAAAAACACAAAAUCAAUAAAAAUAAACUAAGAAUCUAUAUAUAUACAGUCAUCCAGAAAAAGUAGGGCGCAACCCCACGAGUAAAAGCUGGCAUUGUCCCAAUGCCAACUAUCAAAUAAAUAUCUAAACAACAGAAAUGAUAUAUGAUCUCCCUAGGCCUGGUCCGUCUGUAUGGGAUCAUCAGUGGUCCCCAAGUCCUCUGUAUGUAUGGGAACCUCAGACUGGUUCUCGAUCUCCUGCUGCUCAGCUGCUGGGACUUGGGCCUGCUCUUGAACCAGCUGACUGAUAGGUGCAUCACUGGAGGGGGUCUCCUAUGGGUCUGGUAGCUCAAUAACUGCACCAACUGAACUGCGGAGCUUCCUCUUCUUCCUUGGGGGCUUGGGUGCCUGCUCCUGCCGUGGCUGUGGCACUGGUGUUGCUGCUGGGGCUAGCUCAGUCCGUAGCACUCUCACCGACUCCUUGGACACCCUUGACUUCCUCAUUUUCUUGUACUCCUUGGCAAGCUCCCUCAAAGCCUUGCUAUGUGAAUCUACCGCCAUAGUCAAGGCGUCCUGAGUCCUCAUAAUCUUCUCCUGAUUUUCAGGAGCUUCUGCGUGUGUCCUCAAUGGACUGAGGAAACUGAGUAGUGGAAGGUGCUGAAUGGGCCUCAACUGUAGCAGACAAUGUAGACAACUUGGAUGUCGCAACUGACAUCCAGUUGUUCAAACUGGCUAGUGUCCGCCUCAACUGCUGGGCCGUGAAAGGAUGAGUCCGGGAAGAAGGGACCCCCGUGUCAACUGAAGUACUGGGGCCAGCAAAGGAGGAGAGUCGUGGAGGCAAAUCAUCAUCAGUGGUGACCGUAGGCAUGGUGGAUGGCUCUGUGGGGGGCUCAACCGAAGACACUACCGCCACUGGCUCUCAGACUGGCAGCUGGAGUAGAGGAAGGCGGCUUGUAACUUUUGUCUUUGGGGUUGUUUGGCCCCUUCAAACUGUACCAGGAAAAUGGAGCCACAGGUUUUACCUUGACGUCAAACGGUCUCUUCUCCACCUCCAAGUCCCGGAAAUACAUAGUAAGGGUGCUGGGAAAAGGGUAGUUCCGGUCAUGCUCAACCCCUACUACAGAAAUGGUGCGGGAUAUCACAUUUCCCACAUUGAUAGGGUAACCUGCCAUAAUAGAAGCAAUAAGAACCACCCGGGCAAGUGGAAUAGUCUGAUCAUGAGUGGUUGGAUCGAGCCGACUGCAUACAAAGGUCAACCACCCUCUAGCCUCGAAGUUGAAAGUUCUCCGAAGUAUUUUGGUCCCUGCUUGUAGCCAUUAUGGAACCAUACUCGGGAUUGCUAGGUACGAAGCUAACCACGGACGAAUCUCCUCACCCAUUGCUAACUUUUCAUUGUAAAUGGACUUAUCUUCGUCAAUGAACCCCAAAUACUCAUUCAACGCCUUCCCGGUGAAAACCACAUUUUUGUUUCACUUUCGUCACUUUAGUGCCUUUCAUGAUAUGAGCCACAUUGCUGUAAAACUCCUUGACCAUAUGCUCAUUUGCAUUCAAACAAUUGUCUUUAAGGAACUCCCAACUCGCUCGAGCCUGGAACUAUCUAUGCUCAUUGGGGUUUAGGGGUAGAAGGUCUUUGUCAAUAAAGCUCCGCUCAAUUAUCAACUUCCGUGCCGUCCACCAUUCUCUAAAUUUGUGGAAUGCCACCUGGCUGACAAACCAAUCUUCCGAAACUUCAGGUUUUCUAGUUCUCUCAACACCCCCAACCUGGGGCACCCCACUGUUCGGUACCUCAUUAUCACUAUUAGUCCCGUAUUCUGCACUCUCCCCAGAUACUGAAGCUGUGGGGGAGGUGGAGUAUUCACCAUUUCCUGUUGUUGAGCCAUCAAACGACUUAGAAUAUAUACGUUGUGGGGAUUGGACAAUAUGUGAAGUCGGGACUGCAGUAGCUGGCCCUGAAUCAGAAGAGAGGUCAUGGGAUGGUACGUACUCACUCCCCGAUUGGUCGUCUAUAGCAAUUUGUUUACAUGUUUUCAGUGUAGGUCGGGAAGUGAGUUUAACUUGUUUCCCUUUUCCUCCCCUGGAGGAGUCACCUCGGCCGGGUUGUUUAGCACCUCUUCCUCGUUGUUUUACCAUUGUCUGCAAACAAACACAUCUAACAUUGUUAGUUGAAGCACAGGCAGUGAAACAUGUGACUGAAUUAAAAUUGCAGAAGCAAAAUGAAAGUUGCAGACACUGCUGCAGAACCAUGCACCGCGGACCACGCCAUUAGGAAUGCGGCCGCAUUGGAGGCACCGCGGAUCGCGCUAAGGCGACCGCGGGCCGCACCGAUCAAAAAGCCAGGAAGGGUCUUCUCUAAAUCUCACACCGCAGUCUGCACAAAAUGGAGUCGCGGUCGCUGUGGGCUAGCACGGACUGCACAAACAUUACCGCGGCCGCGCUAGACACAAGUUGUUCCUCAGUCAUUCAAGCAUCGCAGACCGCGUGGAAGCAUAACGCGGACCGCGUUAGGGCACCGCGGACUGCGCUAAGGCGACCGCAGGCCGCACUGGGUUAGGUUCAGUGAGUAAACUAGGGAUUGCAUGCUUUUGUUCUAUUUUUGUUCAACUUUUUACCCCUACUUGUCCCUACUCAUGUACCUAAUCCUUAGUUAUUUCAAACUAACAUGGAAGCUACCCUACACUAACAAUUCGAAGACAAUUGUGAAGGCAAAGAAGUUACAGACUACUGGUAAGCAAUUAAAAUAAAAAUAAAAGAGUAAUAAUAAAAAAUGCAUGAAAUGUUACUAGGAUUAUGAAGAAUGAAUGCAAUAUAUCCACACAAGCAAGAAUCUCAGUUUUGGACGGGGAUGAACAGUAGAAUUAGGGUUCUGGGUUUCCAAUUUGCAAAAAGGGUAAAAUGAGACCCUUGGUCUCUAUUUAUAGAGCCCCAUUAGGACCCGUACUCACCUACCAGCACGGCCGCACGAAAGUGACCGCGGACCGUGCUGGGUUUAUUUGUGUGACCCCUAUCGGCCAUUUCAUCAAGUAUAUUACAUGCCUCUUGGUAAGAAAGUUUCAUAAAGUUCCCUCCAGCCAAUUGGUUCGCAAUGCAUUGAUUCGUGGUGUUGAUGCCCCGAUAAAAGGUUUGUUGAAUCAUAGCCUCGGUCAUGUCGUUAUUAGGGCACUCUUUCACCAUUGUUCUAUAUCCUUCCAUAUCUCGUGUAAAGGUUCCGUUGGCUCUUGCUUGAAAGCUAGAAUUUCAUCCCGAAGAGCUGUCAUAUGACUUGGAGAAAAGAACUUGGAAAUAAAUUUAUCUGCCAAUUCAUCCCAUGUUGUAAUACAAUGAUUGAUGAGCCUUUCUAACCAAUCCAAUGCUUUACCCCGAAGAGAGAACAGGAAAAGCCUCAACCUCAAUGCAUACUCGGACACGUUGGUCUGCUUGCUACCCCAGCAUGUAUCUACGAACCCCUUUAAGUGCUUGUAGGCAUUUUGAUUGGAGGCACCCGUGAAAUACCCUCUUUGCUCGAGCAAGGUCAGCAUAACAUUUGUGAUUUGAAAGUUCCCCGUUCGGAUUUGGGGAGGAACAAUAGCACUGGCGUAUCCUUGAUUUGGUAAAAUUCUAGGAGCCACUCUCGGUGGUGGCGGAAGAGGGUCUGGAAUAUUGUUGUUCUCAUUUGCAUUUACAUUGACAUGUCGGCCUCUCUGUGGAAGUUGAGGUAAGACCUCAUCUGGUUCUAGAUCCUCUACCUCCUCCCCUGCUAUCACAUUGCCGAGAGGGUCAUUUGCAUUAAGAGCCAUUGUACCUGAUUGAUCGACACAAACGAAAUUAGUAAACAAGAAGGAAAGAGAAGUACAACACAAAACUAACUAAACAUAUAGUCAACACCGUAAGCUCCCCAGCAACGACGCCAAAAAGUUGAUCGCUAUCAACUCGACACUACACUAUGGUAGGAAGAGCGGAUCACAAUAGCUUUUACCCGAAUAGAGGUCCGGGAUCGAAUUUUCAUAAGGCGCUAGUAGUGGAGUUGUAUUUUCUGUCUAGCCUAGAGUUGUGGUUGUGCUUCUAAUGUCACUUCAAUCAUCUUUUGAGUUUUUGUAUUUAUAACUACUAUUAUAAAACUAUGGAUUAAAGCUAGAUUAUGCUAGGAGAAUAUUGCUAAGUUGUAAUUAAUGUGAAGAAAGAGCACUAGGGUUGUGGCAUUACCUUGGUGGCUAAUUGACGAGUAGAUGUUACUUAGCUUCGAUUGACUUGUUUGGGGGUUAUGCUAUAAUCGUUGCACAAUUUUUACCCACUCUCACACCUCUCGGUAGAGAGAAUAAUUUUACCCAGUUGAAUCUCUCGAGACCAAUUGGGUUGGAAAAUUUGACCAAGAAACUAUGGUUCAAGUAGGGUGAUUACUCUCUCGAGAUUUAACCCGUUAAUUGGGACUAUCAUUUCUCAUGAGUCCAUCCCAAUUCCUCGUUGGGUCAAUUUUGAGGUCAUAAACUCUCUUUCUCAAGAAGAGUUAAACCCACAAAGCUUGAAUCCGUGUUAGCAACCACCAAUUCUAAAUUAAAUCAUAAAAUCAACCCAAAUAACAAACACCCAUAGUCAAUCUAACCCUAGAUGGCAACACCCAUCAAUUACCCACACUAGGGUUGAGCCACAACCCUAGCUAAUGGGUUUAACUACACAUAAUUAAAGAAGAAACUGAAGAAAUAGAUGAAGAACUACACAUAUUAAUUAAUUACUAAGAAGAAAAUACAAUAAUCUAUUGUUAAUGGGAAGCAAAUAUGCCAAAAAUGGCUACAACACCAAGCGUAUCUUUUCUCCUGUUCUCAGAUCUGACCUCCGCUCUAAAAAAAUAGUAAAAUGUUCUAUUUAUACUAGGCUGGAAAAACUGAACAAAAAUACCCCUGUGGGGUCAGUACAGGCCGUACAAAACGGACCGCGGCCGCACUGGCUCUUGGGUUUCAGUUGUUUGAUGACUUGAACUGAGGGAUGCGGACAACGUGGGAGUGUACCGCGGCCACGAAGGAAACUGGCGCGGUCCGUGCAGACGUGACCACAAACCGCAUGAGGACAAAUGACCCUUUGUUGAACCCUAUGAACGUGAACCGCACAGAGAAGGAGUGCGGCCACGAAGCUUCUACGCGGGUCGCGUGAAUCCUACCGCUGCCGCGUGACCUUAGGCUCGAAAAUGUCCAGCCUCUGAACCUCCUAGUGUGGUCGCGGUCAUUGUUACGCGGUCCGCAAUAGGCCCAUUUUUCUUCACUUCUCUUGGUCUUUGAUACUUGAGCAGGUUUCACUCCUUUUUGAGCCGAUUUUUGACAUCUUGUCACUUUGUU